AACGGAUCUCUUGGUUCUGGCAUCGAUGAAGAACGCAGCGAAAUGCGAUACGUAGUGUGAAUUGCAGAAUUCAGUGAAUCAUCGAAUCUUUGAACGCACAUUGCGCCCUUUGGUAUUCCAAAGGGCAUGCCUGUUCGAGCGUCAUUU
This 147-nucleotide ribosomal RNA is filed under the name Curvularia lunata. RNAcentral's name for it is "5.8S ribosomal RNA". It matches the Rfam family "5.8S ribosomal RNA". From Rfam's summary of the family: 5.8S ribosomal RNA (5.8S rRNA) is a component of the large subunit of the eukaryotic ribosome. It is transcribed by RNA polymerase I as part of the 45S precursor that also contains 18S and 28S rRNA. The record is from RNAcentral. Lineage: Eukaryota; Fungi; Ascomycota; Dothideomycetes; Pleosporales; Pleosporaceae.